GAUGAACGCUGGCGGCGUGCUUAACACAUGCAAGUCGAACGGUGAAGGCGGAGCUUGCUCUGCUGGAUCAGUGGCGAACGGGUGAGUAACACGUGAGCAAUCUGCCCCUGACUCUGGGAUAAGCGCUGGAAACGGCGUCUAAUACUGGAUACGAGCUGCGAAGGCAUCUUCAGCAGCUGGAAAGAAAUUCGGUCAGGGAUGAGCUCGCGGCCUAUCAGCUUGUUGGUGAGGUAAUGGCUCACCAAGGCGUCGACGGGUAGCCGGCCUGAGAGGGUGACCGGCCACACUGGGACUGAGACACGGCCCAGACUCCUACGGGAGGCAGCAGUGGGGAAUAUUGCACAAUGGGCGAAAGCCUGAUGCAGCAACGCCGCGUGAGGGACGACGGCCUUCGGGUUGUAAACCUCUUUUAGCAGGGAAGAAGCGAAAGUGACGGUACCUGCAGAAAAAGCGCCGGCUAACUACGUG
RNAcentral lists this ribosomal RNA (468 nucleotides) under uncultured bacterium. RNAcentral describes it as "partial 16S ribosomal RNA". It matches the Rfam family "Bacterial small subunit ribosomal RNA", at positions 28 to 507 of the family's 1533-position model. The record is from RNAcentral.